This is a non-coding RNA of Oryctolagus cuniculus (rabbit), 223 nucleotides long. The record is from Rfam. NCBI's taxonomy places the organism in Eukaryota, Metazoa, Chordata, Mammalia, Lagomorpha, Leporidae.
ACAUGCUCUGAUUCGCAGUUUAAAAAGCUCCCUUUAGCUGGAGCAUAAAUCCCAAAACAGAGCCACUUUCUCCUCAGCAUGUUUGGAAACAUUAAAAUAGACCCACAAUCAAGCAACCCGAUCCUUACAUUUUUCUCCUCGUGAGUCUCUGGGAAACAGGUGCAGACAUGGCUCAUUUGAGACACCAUAGAAAUCUGGUUAAUCCUGCCUGCCCGCUCUCCCU